UUCAGUCUCUUUACAGCCAGUCACUUCCACAACAUUUAGUAGUUCUACUUCUACAGCUCCUUUACACACAGUCACUUCCACAACAUCUACCAGUCCCACUACUACAGGUGAAUGUGUAGCUGAACUGGAAUGUGGCUUUCAAGAGAAGCUUCUCCUAAUACCUGUCUUCAUGAUGAACACAGAUGUUAAAUCAGUCUUAAAUGCUGAAUUUCUGCUUCCACAUGUUUUGUUUCAGUUCAUUUACAACCAGCCACUUCCACAACAUCUACUACUUCUACUUCAGCAGCUCCUUUACACACGGUCACUUCCACAACAUCUACCAGUCCCACUAUUACAGGUGAAUGUGUUGCCGAACUGUAAUGUGGCUUUCAAGAGAAGCUCCUACUAAUACCCGUCUUCAAGAUAAACACAAUGUUUAAGCAGACUUAAAUGCUGAAUUUCUGCUUCCACAUGUUUUGUUUCAGUUCAUUUACAACCAGUCUCUUCCACAACAUCUACUACUUCUACUUCAGCAGGUGAGAAUAAUUUUAGACUAAAUGUGACCAUUUAAAAUAAAUCCUUCAAUGUUAUCCUUGUUGCUGAACACUUUUUUUUCAUCUGAGAUUUUUUUUUUUUUUUUUUUUUUAAGUUUCUUUAAAGAGGUCCUAUUAUGCUCUUUUACAAAGACUUGAUUUUGUUUUGGGGGGCAUUAGAACAUGCUAUAAUGCUUAGUGGUUCAAAAAAACACAUUAUUUUUCACAUAAUUGCAUUAUUACAAUUCCUUUCUCCCCAGCCUGGCUCAAACAGCUUGAUUAGAUCUUGUCCACCUUCCAAAAAACUAAAUGUGUUUGUGACUGGUUAGUUGUCCCAGUAAGCUGUGAUUGGCGAACAGUUUAGAUAGUGUUUCAGUAUUGCCCCACCCCUUGCCAAAGCAGCUGUUAGCAUAAUGUCAAUAUCAGCAUACCAAUUUGAGCCGGAUUCAUACCCCGAGAAUAUUGACCAAGAGGAUAGAUCAGAACCUUUGCAUGCACAGAUAUUGCAAGACAUAUUAGAGUGGUAGCGUAAAUUAUUAUUAUUAUUAUUAUUAUUAUUAUUAUUUUGGCUAAAUAAAAUUUUAGAUACAAAGUAAACAACCAC
Molecule: long non-coding RNA, 1116 nt
Filed under: Carassius auratus (goldfish)
Lineage: Eukaryota; Metazoa; Chordata; Actinopteri; Cypriniformes; Cyprinidae
Description: lncRNA (ENSCARG00000059041.1)
Source: RNAcentral